UAAGUAAACGUUUUUAUCAAAAUUACGGCAUUUCAAAACACGUUUAACCGAAAUGCGCUCAGUAUUUUACUUCGUCAGCAGUGAUUUAUCGUACAAAGCUUACUGUCCGGUUAAACUCCGCGAUUAUUCACAUCACUAAAAUGACAAUAUCCUUUGUACAAUAUUUGUAUUGUUUUCACCCGUUGAAUAUCCGAGUUUACUAAAAUGUGAUAUUUUCGUCAUGAAACUAAUCGGAAUAAUCGAACCAAAAAGCUGUUGUCCGCGUAGAAAAACAAACGUCAGAAAAAUAACUUUCGGUUCGAUAAUGAUGUGUGUUUGCACCACUAUUUUUUAAAUAUCUUUACUAAG
This is a non-coding RNA of Cinara cedri, 348 nucleotides long. NCBI's taxonomy places the organism in Eukaryota, Metazoa, Arthropoda, Insecta, Hemiptera, Aphididae. The record is from the annotation of a GenBank genome assembly.